UAGGGAAUCUUCGGCAAUGGGGGGAACCCUGACCGAGCAACGCCGCGUGAGUGAAGAAGGUUUUCGGAUCGUAAAGCUCUGUUGUUAAGGAAGAACGAGUGUGAGAAUGGAAAGUUCAUACUGUGACGGUACUUAACCAGAAAGGGACGGCUAACUACGUGCCAGCAGCCGCGGUAAUACGUAGGUCCCGAGCGUUGUCCGGAUUUAUUGGGCGUAAAGCGAGCGCAGGCGGUUAGAUAAGUCUGAAGUUAAAGGCAGUGGCUCAACCAUUGUAGGCUUUGGAAACUGUUUAACUAGAGUGCAGGAGAGGAGAGUGGAAUUCCAUGUGUAGCGGUGAAAUGCGUAGAUAUAUGGAGGAACGCCGGUGGCGAAAGCGGCUCUCUGGUCUGUAACUGACGCUGAGGCUCGAAAGCGUGGGGAGCGAACAGG
Molecule: ribosomal RNA, 429 nt
Filed under: Bacteroidota bacterium
Lineage: Bacteria; Pseudomonadati; Bacteroidota
Description: Bacteroidetes bacterium partial 16S ribosomal RNA
Rfam family: Bacterial small subunit ribosomal RNA
Source: RNAcentral